This 483-nucleotide ribosomal RNA is filed under the name uncultured bacterium. RNAcentral describes it as "partial 16S ribosomal RNA". It matches the Rfam family "Bacterial small subunit ribosomal RNA", at positions 29 to 523 of the family's 1533-position model. The record is from RNAcentral.
AGUGAACGCUGGCGGCGUGCUUAACACAUGCAAGUCGAACGAGAAUGGAUAUAGCUUGCUAUAAUUGUCAGCUAAGUGGCGCACGGGUGAGUAAUGUAUAGGUAAUAUGCCUCUUACUAAGGGAUAACAAAUGGAAACGUUCGCUAAUACCUUAUACUCCUUAUUAACAGAAGUUAAUAAGGGAAAGAUUUAUUGGUAAGAGAUUAGCCUGUAUUGUAUCAGUUAGUUGGUGGGGUAAUGGCUUACCAAGACUAUGACACAUAACUGGUUUGAGAGGAUGAUCAGUCACACUGGAACUGAGACACGGUCCAGACUCCUACGGGAGGCAGCAGUGGGGAAUAUUGCACAAUGGACGAAAGUCUGAUGCAGCAACGCCGCGUGGAGGAUGACACAUUUCGGUGCGUAAACUCCUUUUAUAUGAGAAGAUAAUGACGGUAUUAUAUGAAUAAGCACCGGCUAACUCCGUGCCAGCCGCCGCGGUAA